RNAcentral lists this ribosomal RNA (468 nucleotides) under uncultured bacterium. RNAcentral describes it as "partial 16S ribosomal RNA". It matches the Rfam family "Bacterial small subunit ribosomal RNA", at positions 28 to 507 of the family's 1533-position model. The record is from RNAcentral.
GACGAACGCUGGCGGCGUGCUUAACACAUGCAAGUCGAACGGAAAGGCCCUGCUUUUGUGGGGUGCUCGAGUGGCGAACGGGUGAGUAACACGUGAGUAACCUGCCCUUGACUUUGGGAUAACUUCUGGAAACUGGGGCUAAUACCGGAUAGGAGCUCCUGCUGCAUGGUGGGGGUUGGAAAGUUUCGGCGGUUGGGGAUGGACUCGCGGCUUAUCAGCUUGUUGGUGGGGUAGUGGCUUACCAAGGCUUUGACGGGAAGCCGGCCUGAGAGGGUGACCGGCCACAUUGGGACUGAGAUACGGCCCAGACUCCUACGGGAGGCAGCAGUGGGGAAUAUUGCACAAUGGGCGGAAGCCUGAUGCAGCAACGCCGCGUGCGGGAUGACGGCCUUCGGGUUGUAAACCGCUUUCGCAUGUGACGAAGCGUGAGUGACGGUAAUGGGUAAAGAAGCACCGGCUAACUACGUG